MicroRNA precursor from Mandrillus leucophaeus (drill), 99 nucleotides. NCBI's taxonomy places the organism in Eukaryota, Metazoa, Chordata, Mammalia, Primates, Cercopithecidae. The record is from Ensembl.
GAGGUGGGAGGAUUGCUUGAGCCUGGGAGGUCGAGGCUGCAGUGAGCUGAGAUUGUGCCACUGCACUCCAGCCUGAGUGACAGAGCAAGACACUGUCUC